AUCCUUUCUUGGCCCUUUAGCUAAAAUCAAGUAUAGUGUCCAUUCUUGUCAGUUUUAUGGUGCACAUAUCUUCAGUGUGAGAACAUGAUGUUACAUGAGUGUUGGAAGUGGGAGAUGGACUUGGAGCUUGCUCUGUGCCUUGUCCUGGCAAUGCAGAGCCC
This is a non-coding RNA of Calypte anna (Anna's hummingbird), 161 nucleotides long. The record is from Rfam. NCBI's taxonomy places the organism in Eukaryota, Metazoa, Chordata, Aves, Apodiformes, Trochilidae.